RNAcentral lists this transfer RNA (64 nucleotides) under Eublaberus distanti. Its description in RNAcentral is "tRNA-Arg". The record is from RNAcentral. Lineage: Eukaryota; Metazoa; Arthropoda; Insecta; Blattodea; Blaberidae.
AAGUAAGAAGCAAUUAUGCAAUUAGUUUCGACCUAAUAGAAUGAUAUUAGAUUAUCCUUACUUU